GAUGAACGCUAGCUACAGGCUUAACACAUGCAAGUCGAGGGACCGGCGCACGGGUGAGUAACGCGUAUCCAACCUGCCCACCACUUGGGGAUAACCUUGCGAAAGUAAGACUAAUACCCAAUGGUGAUGGAUGGGGAUGCGUCUGAUUAGCUUGUUGGCGGGGUAACGGCCCACCAAGGCGACGAUCAGUAGGGGUUCUGAGAGGAAGGUCCCCCACAUUGGAACUGAGACACGGUCCAGACUCCUACGGGAGGCAGCAGUGAGGAAUAUUGGUCAAUGGGCGAGAGCCUGAACCAGCCAAGUAGCGUGCAGGAUGACGGCCUAUGGGUUGUAAACUGCUUUUAUAAGGGAAUAUGUACCUUAUGAAUAAGGACCGGCUAAUUCCGUGCCAGCAGCCGCGGUAAUACGGAAGGUCCGGGCGUUAUCCGGAUUUAUUGGGUUUAAAGGGAGCGUAGGCUGGAGAUUAAGCGUGUUGUGAAAUGUAGAUGCUCAACAUCUGCACUGCAGCGCGAACUGGUUUCCUUGAGUACGCACAAAGUGGGCGGAAUUCGUGGUGUAGCGUGAAAAUGCUUAGAUAUCACGAAGAACUCCGAUUGCGAAGGCAGCUCACUGGAGCGCG
RNAcentral lists this ribosomal RNA (619 nucleotides) under uncultured bacterium. RNAcentral's name for it is "bacterial SSU rRNA". It matches the Rfam family "Bacterial small subunit ribosomal RNA", at positions 28 to 738 of the family's 1533-position model. The record is from RNAcentral.